AUCAGGAAGACGUGGUUCUCGAGCCCGUUCCGCAGGAAGACGGUGAGUUAGAUGCCUAAGGACCUUAUAGCUCUAUUUAUAGUUUUUAUUUUGAGUAUCUCUUUUAAUUAGCUUAUUCUUUCAUAUUUUGAGUACGUUUUUUGGUUAUUGUGUAAGGGAUAUUAAUCAAAAAUUUUAUUACGCUUCCGCAUUUAAGAUUUUUAAUGCAUACAUCUUCAUUUAAAUUCCGGGGCCGUUACAAAGAUGCUUAUUCUAAGGAGCUCCAGCUUUAAAGAAUAUUCUGAUGAUCAAAUCCAGCUAUAAUGGGCCUUUAGCUGAAUAUAUUGUUGAACCCCCACCAAGUUCUAGAUGUGAGGUAUGAUAUAUGAUAAUGUGCCUUAUGACUAUUGAUGUGAUACCCACUAAAGAUAAACCUAAACUAGAGGAGUGUAAGAAGCGGACUGGUAUUAAUGAGCUUCCAGGAAACGAAAGAAAGCAAUUACGAGGUAACAAUACCCUAUGCUACUCUAUUCUUCACUAAGUAUCAAACAGUGAGGCCGAAUCCACCAAACAGAGUUCCCGACCUAGGAAGAAAUGACACUAGAAGGUGUUAAAAACCCAAAGAAAAACGGACUUUACUGUUAAGAAACGGCUUGGCCUGAAAAUCCCGGCCUAAGAAAGAAGUCUGAAUGUAGUCUGCAUAUGGGUACCCGUAGGGUAAACAUGUGUCGCAUUGCAUAUAUAGGAUAGGAUACUUGGCCCACACAUUCAUCGAUGUUCUAAGCUCCCAUGGUGAGGAAGUCGAAGGUAACUUUAUACUUCGCAGGAAAAUCAGAGACAGGCAACUUUCUUGACGCAUAGACCUGGAGGCCCACAUGCGAGCAAGGAUGCUUGCGUAUGCGCCGAACAGGCAAGCCAACCUACACAACCCAUGAACACACACAUGUGCCCACAUGUGCCGCGCACAUGAGUGUCGGGAGCACCAUACACGUGACCUUCUAGGCCCACACAGAACCGACCGCGCGCGCAAGCCCAGAAGGCCGAACGCGUGCGCAAGCCCAGAAGGCUGAACGCGUGCGCAAUGUGCGGACGGGCCCGAGGCCAGCCCAACCAAGCCCACGAUUCCUACGGGCCUUUCCCACGCUACCCAAGUGGGCCGAUUGACCCAACCUAAUUGGGUUACCCUAAAACCGGCCCUCCCUAAUUCUUUUAAAUUAAUUAAUAUUUUUUUAAAGUUUAAAAAAUGAGCUUUGGGACCCAUUUUUUAAAUUACCCAUGUUAUUAACUUAAAAUCCCACAUGUCUAAAUUAAUUUCUAAAUAUAUUUUUCAUGGAAGUCACAUGGGAUAAGUAUUAAUGUAUUUUAAUUAUUAUUUUAUUAUAAGUCAAUCCCUUAAGAUUAUUUAAUUAAUAUUUUUGAGAUAGGAUAAUUAUUUUAUUAUGUAAUUAUCCUAAAUUUAGAUAGAAUUUUAUUUAGAACGUUAUUUUAUUAAAUUAUCCCAAUAGUUUGUAUUUAUCUAGAUUGCUCGAAAAAAACUAUAAAUAGGCAUUUGCUCAUAGAUUGUAAACAUACCAAUUACAAUCAGUAUGAGAGAAUUCUUAAAAGCUUAGGUUUUUAUUUUUUUUAGCAUUUUUACUAAAUUAGCUUCUCCAAGUUCUUUAAGAAGUAGGAGUUUUCAGAAAUCCUAUUGAGCUAAGAAGCAGGGAUCAACUUAUCAGUAAAUCUGUUGCGAUUUUUCUUUUCUUGUUUUUUUUUCCUAGUCUUUGUUUAUGCAUUUCUUCUACGAUUGUAGAUUCAAUUAGAGUGAUGAGUUUAUCUAGACGAUUAUAGUUCCUUGCUCACUAUUUUUUCUAUUUGAUAAUGACAAUAAUAAUAAUAAUAAUAAAAGAAGAUUCAGCAGAGGAUAAGAAGUCUUACCUUACUCUAUUGGAUAUUCACAAGUGAAAAAAGACGAAUGAAUCCAACUUUUCCUUUUCCUAUUUUACGUUCUUCUUUUCUUCUUCACGACUUCAUUAUGCGCUGGCAAGUUCGUUAACAAGUCAAUGAAAGGACAAAGAGGGAGUCAGUAGCAAUGGUGAUGUAGCUCAGAAAUAUAGAUAGGAGGAGGACGAGAACUGGUGACCCCAAGAGUAUCAGAGACAUGGAUGAAGAGGGAAACAGGGUUGUUGUCCUGACUGAUGCAGCAUCAUGUUGAUUCCAUUGCUGGCAACUCUCUCCCUUCUCCGUCUCCCUUUGUCCACUUUCCUUCUGGUUAUUAAUCGAAGAAUUUAAAAUUUUGAGAAUUAAAUUAUUUGUAGACUUUAAAAAUUCUCUCAAAAAAAAUUAAAAUUAAUUAAUUAAAUUAGUAGAUUACUAUACAUUAAAAAAUAAAAAAAACAUGUUUAAAACUAUUAUUAUUAUUAUUUUAUUUAUUAAUUAAAAUUAAUUCAGUUUAAACAUUAGAUAAUUUGUUUUAAGAAAGAAGCUUAAAAUAAUCAGAUAAUAUUAAAAUAUCAAACUAUAAUACAGUUUUAAAAAAAUAAAAAAUAAUCAUACUGAAAAAAAAGUUCCAUACAAAAUUAUAAAAAAAAAUCAAUUUUUAGAAACUAAUUUAAUAAUCUAAUCUAAUAUCCAUUUUUAAAUUAAAUAAUAGUAAUUUAAAAUUGAUAUUUAUAUUAAAUAAAAUAUUUAAUUAAAUGAAUAUUUUAAAAUAACUUAAAUUAUUAAAAUAAUUUCUAAAAAAGUAAUAUCAAACAAAUAAUUAUAACAAUUAAAUCUUAUAGCAUAAUUCUUAAUCCUCGUUUAUCAUUAAUUUUGUAACAUAAUAACUUAAUAAAAUAUUUUAUAUUAAAGACAUUUUUUACAAGUAAAAAAUAAUAUUUCACUUUAAAACCACUUCUAUUAAAAGUCAUUUUGAAAGCAUUUUUACCAACUCCAAGCACUGGCUUUGUAAAACAGACUUUAAAAUCAAUCCACUCAUAUUCUUGUGCGAUCUACCCACAAAUGAAAUGUGCACUAGCUUUAGGGGGAGGAAAAAAAGCACCUUAAUUAGUUGUGUUCAUCUUUGCUUUAUGCAUGUAUAUAAAUUUGAUUCAAUCGCUACCCAAGUAAAAACAUUAAACAAAGGCCAAUGAAUCCAAUUAUAAUAAGAUUAAGAGAGACAACACAAAACUAUAAAACUCAAUUGGUUAGCUUCACAGCUCAANNNNNNNNNNNNNNNNNNNNNNNNNNNNNNNNNNNNNNNNNNNNNNNNNNNNNNNNNNNNNNNNNNNNNNNNNNNNNNNNNNNNNNNNNNNNNNNNNNNNNNNNNNNNNNNNNNNNNNNNNNNNNNNNNNNNNNNNNNNNNNNNNNNNNNNNNNNNNNNNNNNNNNNNNNNNNNNNNNNNNNNNNNNNNNNNNNNNNNNNNNNNNNNNNNNNNNNNNNNNNNNNNNNNCUGAAUCAGUCUCAAAAGCUGGGGGUUUUGCUUUCCAAGCUCCUGAAGCAUGGGCUGUAACAAAAACAGCAUUUUCAACUCUUCUCAAGAAGCUACCAAGAUAAAUUCGGUUUAAAGAGAAAAAGAGAUUCAGUGACCUGUAAGAUUUGUGGAUUUGAUUGCACUAUUGAUCGCAACGUUUGGAACUAAAACCAACAGAGAAACAAGAGAAGUUAUCUCAUCGCGAAAAUUCAUCACCUACAAAUCUUUAGAUAUUGCCACUUUUCAAAUAAUUCAAUAUCAAUCAGAUUUAUACUAAUAACUAAUGAGCCAGAUACUCGUAUAAAGAGGAAAUAGAUUGUUCAAAUUAGCCUUAAGUUUAAAGACGGCCUAAAGAUUAAAAAUUAUAAUUUUAUUAAAUACAAAACUAGUAUGCUAUUUAGGAGUCUAUUAUCAUAGUUCUAGUAACUUUAUAAUUUUUUGUUUUCAAUAUUUAUUUUUACUAUUUACAUUAGUAGUAUUAGUUCCUCAUCCUAUUAGUGUUAGUGAUCUAAUUCUACCGAAGAACUAUUAUGUACAAAUUUUGGUAAAUUCACUUCUAGUUAUUCAGUAAAAUUUUUUAUGCAUUUCUUAAUUUUCUGAUUCUAUGUGCCAUCAAACUCUAUAUUAAGACUUAUUCGAUGUAGAUAUAUAAGAAACUCUAGAUGUGAUACCUAAAUCUUUGUCUCCAAAUUCCUAAAUAGCUAAUUUAAUCCUAAUUCAUGCUAGAUCAGUUUGUAUAAUAGCUAAAGAAUCCUACUCCAAAAACUUAAAACCCCACACCCAAAUACCCAAACUCGACUGACCGGGAAGAAAAACAGAAAUAACCAAUCACUGAAGCCCAUAAAUCAACUGCCAAGGCAAUCAGAACCAAAGACUCUCUCUCAUCCCCAAAAGCCCAGGGUGAAAUUCCACGGAAAACAAGCCACUCACGAUUGCACUUUUUCCCUAUCCUGCCUUCUCAUUCCCAAAUUUUCUUGUUGAUAGUGUUUCCUACCACUACCAGAUCUGGUACCACUCUCUCAAGCUGAACCUAGUGUUGGGACACUGAUGCUGCUCAAUGAACAAAAAUUGGUGCAUAGUUCCUAUGCAAACGUAACCGCAAGUGAAGUAGUCAGAUUGCCACUGUUUUGACUUUCUAAGAUUGGGUUGACCAAAUCAGUUCAUCCUAUCCAGUUUUAGAGCCCUUCUACACUGGUUACAAUUCCCCAAUUAAUUGUCAUGCACUCAGUUUUCUAAUUAACCAUCAACUUCAACAUCUGCAGUAUAAAAGAAUUUUCAGUACGUGGAAUAUUAAGGAAGAUAAUGAGCUAUAGCUAUGAGAUAAUAAAGCUGACAACUCUUUCUUAGUUGUAGCCUGAGCACAAUCAAACAGGAAAAAGUGAAGCAAAGGUCGAAAGCAUUCAACAAUAUUUUCAAAUCCAAACCUUUGUGGCAUAGAGAGAAGCUUGUCAUUUACAAAGAUUGUUUCCAGAAUCUUGUUUCAAUCUCUAUCGUUGAACGACAGUCUUUCGACACAAUCAUAUCCGCAACCAUAUAGAUUAGCUUGGACAAAUAGUACAAGUAUUUUGGUAACUCAACCAAGUCUUGACUCUAUUCGUCAUGGUAUUUACAGAGAUUCAAUCUUGUGCAACAUUGUUCCUACAAUGUUCAUAAAUGUUUGUCUAGGUCAACCUUAGCUUUUUAAUAGACAUGUUCAGUAUAACGUGACUACUAAUACCCAUUAUUUUACACUUGGCACAAAGGAUAUAGCUUUAAAAUCUAUGACUAAGAAGAGAUGAGGAAACAUAAACAUCCAAAAGCAUCUAUGGAGAGAAAAAGCUCAUUGAAGUUGAAAACAAGAACUGCCGCGUUCUCCUAAUAGUAGAGAUGUUGAGGUUACUAAAGAUUUUUUCAUUACGCGAAGAGACUUAGACAAUUUUUAUACAGUAUAUAGAUAAAAUUAGGUUGUUACAAAACUAUUAACAAUUUAAUUUACACAUGAAUACUACCGUUGCACUUUUACAUAUAUUAGAAAAGGUCAAUUGCAAGGAGACACCGAUGGCAAUAAUUAGAUCUGUUUAACUCAAGGAUGAAGUUAAUGCACAAUUCUUCCGAUACGUUGAUUUCAUCCUCCUCUCAAUAAAAUUUCACUCUAUUAAAUAAUCAUGUGUUUCCAUUAGUUUUAGCAUUAAAGAGAAUAACCGGACAGAAAUUUUCCUAGAGUUUUGUUACAAGAUUACAUGAUAUUUACUUGUAAUUAUUGGUAGCUGACUUUCCAUAUAUAUUAGCAUAAUUAUAUACAGCCAAUUAAUAGGCUAAUUUAUGUUAGUUACCUUACACAGAUCCCACUAUAUGUAUAUAUAUCCCUAACCUAUUAGAAUGAAACUAUCAGACAAUGUUCCUAUAUUUUUCCGCUCUCUUACAUAGUCUCAAAGCCAUGGAUUGAGAGUUGGGCCAGAUCAGAUCUGAUCUGUGUCCCAACCACCACUGAAGGAGAAAUAGAGGCAGCAGCUGCGGCGGCAUCUGAAACGAGGAGGCUUGGAGCCGAUCUGGUGAGACGAGACAGCCAGAAUCAGAAGGGAGGGAGAAGCCAAGGAGAUGGCUUGUGUACACGGCUCGGAGAAGACAAACCGUGCAGCAGGAAUCCUGAUAUGCGUGUGCAGCAGCCAGUCCAGAUCCAAGUCGGGGCGUGGCGGGGAGAAGACAAUCCAGCCUUGUACGCGACAGAUCGGUCUAGAUCUGCGUGAGGUCGGUCUGGAGAGGGUGUAGAUGAAGCUAUCUGUGUCGGAAUCAAAAGGUCGGAGAGGAAGAAUCUGAGGCAGUUGCCAUCGGUUGCGCGAAGCUAGAUCCACAAAUUUUUCAGUGUUUUCCGGCGCGAUUUAACAAAAUCCGUUCACUUGUUCAUUGCAAAAUUAUAUGACUCAACAAAAGAUUCUCUAUCAGUCCUCUUGUGUUGAUACACCCACUCAAAAUGGAAUAACUGAGAGAAAGACUAAACAUUUACUUGAGACUGCUCGAGCUCUUUUAUUCCAAACACAGGUCCCUAAGCAGUUCUAGGCUGAUGCUAUUUCCACGACCUACUUUUUAAUUAAUCGUCCGUCAUCUAUAGUACUUAAUGGAGAUGCUACUUACAGUGUUUUUUUUUUCCAAACAAGUCAUUGUUUUUUAUUCAACCUAGAGUAUUUGGUAACACCUGCUAUAUUCGAGAUGUGUUGCCUAAUAUUACUAAAUUAGACCCAAAUGUCUUGAAAUAUGUAUUUUUGGGAUAUUCUUACCUUCAAAAGGAAUAUCAAUGCUAUUUUCUAGAUCUCAAUAAAUACGUGGUAUCAACUGAUUUGGUAUUUUCAGAGAACACGUCAUUCUUCUCCUUAUCAUCUAAUUCUACAAAUUAAGAGGAGGACGAUGAGUAGCUCAUUUAUAAGUUCACAUCAAGUGUCUCAAAUGAGCAAUCAGAUAAUGGUGUUUCUUCAGAUGAUGUGUCUCCAACUCUAAUUGAGUAAGUUGAUGAUGGUGUGCCUCUGACCGAAGUACAACCACCAAUUAUUCAUAUUUAUUACAAAAGACAACAGACUAAUGAUACAUGUCCUGUACCAGCUUCCUCAUCGUCUGAUCCUAUCCCACAUGACUUGGAUCUUCUCAUUAAUUUUCUUAACGGUAAACAUUAAUGCACCCUUUCUAAAUCUACGUAUCCCAUUGAUAAUUUUAUUUCAUAUAGUCACCUGUCCCAUUCGUUUAUUUUUUUUAAUUACUUUUAUAGAUUCAAUUUCCAUACUUAAGGGAAUUAUGGAGGCUUUGAAUCACUCUCUUUGGUAUAAAAUGAUGUUUGACUAGAUAAAUGCUUUCGGUGAAAAUCAUACCUAAGAUUUGGCGAAUUUGUCAAAAGUAAAAAAGUUGUGAAAUGCAAAUGGAUCUUUUCAGUCCAAGUGAAUCCAGAUGGUUCCGUGGCAAGACUUAAAGUCAAACUAGUAACGAAAGACUAUACUCAAACUUAUGAAGUGGACUAUUCUGAUAUAUUCUCUCUAGUGGUCAAACUUACAUCUCUUUAAUUAUUCAUCUCUAUUGCAGCCUCCCAAAAGUAGCCCUUACAUAACUUAGAUAUUAAGAAAGCAUUUUUUCAUAGUGAUCUCUCAGAAAAAGUGUAUAUGAAACAACCACAUGAAUUUGUUGCUCAAGGGGAGUAUGAGAAUAUCUGUCAUUCAAAGAAAUCUUUGUGUAAUUUAAAACAGAUUCCCCGUACGUAAUUUGGCAAGUUUAGGGAAGUAGUUCUAUAUUAAAAAAGAGUAAGUAUAAUCAUUCGAUCUUUUAUAAAUAAUUAAUAGCUGGUAUUAUACUUUUUGUUAUUUAUGUAGAUGACAUUGUCAUUAUAGGAAAUGAUUGUGCAGAAAUAUCUUCUCUCAAGUCAUUCUUGCAUACUAAGUUUCACACUAAAAACUUGAAUCAGCUAAAAUAUUUCUUUGGAGCCGAAGUAACAAAAAGCAAGAAAGGAAUUUUCUUGUCUCAAAAGAAGUAUGUACUUGAUCUAAUUGCAGAAAUUGAAAAAUUGACAGCUAAGUCGUGCAAUACACAAAUGACGCCACAUGUAUAUCUUACAAAAGAUAAUAGCGAACCUCUUGAUGAUCUGGAAAAGUACAGGCAACUAGUUGGAAAAUUGAAUUAUCUCACAGUGACUUCUAGAUAUUGCAUAUCAUGUUAAUGUUGCUAUUCAUUUUAUAUCUGCAUCUACAAUCAAACAUUGAGAAGCUUUAUAACAAAUUGUGCUGCUUAGAAGGUGCUCCAAGACUUAACAUAUUAUUUAGCAAUUAUGAGCACACUCACAUUAAACGCUUUGCAGAUAUUGAUUUGGCUGAAUCUAAAAUUGAUAAACGGUCCACUACAGGUUAUGUGUUUUUGCUAGUGAGAACUUAAUAUCAUGAAGAAGUAAGAGGCAGACCGUUGUGCCCUAAUCUAAUACAGAAUCCGAAUAAAGAGCUAUGACCCAAUCUACAUGUGAAGUCUUAUGGAUACAUCACCUUCUAACCGAAGUGGGUUUAAAUCCUGUGUCACCUGUAAAACUCAGAGUGUGAUAAUUAAUCUGCAUUUCAUAUUACUUCAAAUCUAGUGUACCAUGAAAGAAUCAAACAUAUCAAAAUUCAAGAAAACUUGGUUUCUAUUGGUUAUGUGAAGACAGGAGAACGUGUAAUAUAUUCACGACUUUAAUGCAACUCGAACUGAAUACUUUCGUAACAAACUAGACAUGAUAAAUAUCUAUGCUUCAACUUGAGGAAGAGUGUUACAAGAUUACUUGAUAUUUACUUGUAAUUAUUGAUCGUUGACUUUCCAUAUAUAUUAGCAUAAUUAUAAACAGCCAAUUAAUAAACUAAUUUAUGUUAGUUACCUUACACCACUCUAUAUGUAUGUAUAUCCCUAACCUAUUGAAAUGAAACUAUCAAAAAAUAUUCCUAUAUUUUUCCGCUCCCUUACAAGUUUCUUGGAAAAGCUCGAGGUUAAUGUUCUACAUUAUUCGCUAUUUCACAACUUAUAGAUGAGUUCUUUCCAACGAGGAAAGAAUUAUGCAAAAUAAUGUAAAUUUAAAUUGCUAAAUAAAAUUAAGAAUGAUAAUUAUAUUACACAUAAAGCCAAUGUAACAUUCAGGAAUUUACCAUUAAAUGUUUAGUGCCUUUAGGUUCUUAUUUUUUCACUAUUUAGUUUCCUUGUACUUACCGUAUUAUUCUCCAAUUUUAUUAGUAUUAGUUAUCUAAUUAUAUUUAGAAACAUAACUAAAUUAGUAUUAUAAAUAUUUUUGUAAAUUCACUUUUUGAGACAUCCUUUAGUUAUUCAAGAAAGAAACUAAAUUUUCCAGUUCUAUAUUGCACUAAAUCCUUACAUUUGAUGCUUAUAAGUUCUUAGAUAUAACAUCCAAGAAACAGAAAGUGUGAAGCGUAGAAUUUAUUCCUAAAUUCCCAAGAAUGCAAACUUAGCCCCAACUUGUACUGUAUUAUGGUGAUUAGAUUCUAGGUUUUCUGGUUUAAUAGAAAAGAGACUAUAUUAGCAUAAGAGAGAAAAAAAAUGUGGAGAAUAAGACAUCUUCCUCAAAGAAUUACAUCAGAUACAACGAAAAGAAACAUAGGAAUGAAAAACUCUAAGAGAUGGAAACAACAGGCUGCCAGUUUCAGUGAAGCAUAGGAAUGAAAAACUCUAAGAGAUGGAAACAACAGGCUGCCAGUUUCAGUGAAGCUCUGAGACGGCUAUAUCAGAGUAUCUCCUUGACUUUUGAUGCAAAAUGUAGAAAGAAAUAUAACCCUAUCCCACAACUCCUAAAGAGAAGAUAACAGUCAUAAAAAAUUCUGCAGCUUUUUUCCAGCCAAAUCACCCAUAAUCCUGCAAAUAUUGCCCCUUGCAAUAAAGGCCUGGCUCCCUUGCGCACCCUUCUCCACAAAUACAUGAACCCAUUAAGCCCUCAACCUAGAUCCUAGGUUUCAGGAAGAAUUCAGCCAAAUCUUCCAUAUUAGUUUGUACCCAAAAUUCAGCUAUAAAAUCAUCAGAGAACAACUUAUAAGAAAAAGGAGGUUUAAAGUAUCCAACUCCAUAUACCAAAAGCUGUCCAACAAGUCCUAAUUUUGGAAUUGGAGUAGGUUGUUAUGGAAGAUUUCAGUCACUUCCACCAUCAUUUUGAGGCAUUUGUUAAUAUAUAUCAGGAGGAUCCAAAGCAUUGGAAACCAAACCAAGAAUUCAAUACAGGGGGUGAAUGACCUGACUAGGGAACUUUCAGUCCCUUCGGGCAAACAAAACAUAGGUGAAGUCAGCAUAAACAUAGGUGAACACAGUAUUGCCAGGGGAAGACAUUACUAGCUCCUGGUUCCGUUUAGGCCACGAUCAUUUUGAUGCUGGUUCUUUUAUCUCCAAGGAUUCUACUAAAGUUCAAGAUUUUGAUGGCUCUUUUGACCACUUGCAUUCAUUUGAUCGCUGCAACAUUUUUUUUUGGCUGUCAGAAUCUCAAUCAGUCCCACCUAGACAAUUUCUGAUGGGUUUAGAUGAUGCUAAUCAAGGCUUCCAGCUUCAGGAAUUACUUGCUAUAUUUACCAAAAAUUUUGGUACGCUACAUGUUUGCCUCAUGUACACAGUUCUAAAAUUUUGCUGCAAUCUGUUGCAAGACGGAGAAAAAUUUUCUCAUUCUGAAGUUAACAAAAGUUACUUUAUGUCGAGUGAAGACUUUUUUAUUGUUCUAAAGCACUUCUAUGGCACAGGAACAACCUCCGGAUUUGGGAUGAUCUGUCAACUGGAAUUUUUUCUUUUGGGAAGCUGUUCGACUAGGCUGUCUCUGUUUCUCAUUAUUGGUGCUUGCGGACAAGCACCUAUCAGAGGAGGUAUGUAAUCUUAUAGUCCAUAAUAAAUAAUAAAAGCACUUAAGAGUCUGGUUUAUGACACGGACCCACAGACAGCAAGCAGCGGGCGGAACACAGGCAAAAUGCAAAGAGAACCAUUACUGCUUUGGUUAAAGUGAGAUGCCUUUUAUUUCAGGAGUUUCCUUAUCUCUGUAAUUUAAAUAAAAAAGGCAACUUAAGAAAGCCUAAGGUCAUGGUGAUUAAAUAGGCUAAUUAUUUUUUUUCAAUAAAGUGUGAAUAGAUAAUAAACUGUAUGCGAUUAAAUCACUAAUUAUCGUAACUUAAAAUCAUGAAGAUUAGAUUACCAGUUUUAGGAAGAAGUAAGCAGGCUUAUUCCUAUUUAUUUGUACCCUUUUAUAAAAAUUAUGCAAUCAAAUCAUUGAAGAAAAAUUUAUACAAAGAAUUUUAGAUUAUUUAACUGCUGAGACUCAAGGACUUUAGAAUCCUAAAUACUAAUACCACACAUUACUGCACAUAACCUGAUCCCGAAACCAUGACUCUGCCACCACAUUGAUAGGAAAGCUUGUAUAAGCCCAUCAAAGAAAGACUAAAGUAGAUUUCAUAUCGGAAAAAGGGGAGGAAGAAAACAUAAGUUUAUUGUAACCUCUAUGUAGAGUAUUAAGUUUCCUUGAUAACAGGAAUUGUAACACUUCACAGGAAUAAUACCUGUUGAUUGCUUCUCAGAAAUUCCAGAGAUCCAAGUCCACCAACACCAGCACCAGAUGGUGCCUCCUGGGAAAAAUUCAGCAUAGCAUAAACAAAAAAAGGAAACCUCCUUACAAACACAAUGAAAUUCAAACAAGAUCAAAAUGUUUACCUGAGGAAACAUAUUUAAAGGAGACGAAUUAGGUGCUCCAGAGGCACCAAUUACUGGGGCUGCACCUGUUUCUGUUAUCUGAGUUGCGGGCAAAUGACCUACUGGAACAGCAACUUCUGUUGUUUCAGGUAUUCCCUAAAAAUAAAGAAGUAUUAAGACCAGAUGUAGAGAAAUAAACAUUUAUCGCUACAUUUGCAAAAUUUAGACUUACAGAGUAAAGAUAAUCUACUGCUCGCUCCGGGUUGUUAUAAGCUGCACGAAGUGCUCGGCUAACUGUCUCUUUGUCCCAGUUUCCGCCACCAAUAUCCAUUAUUUGUUGAAUGGUCUGUUCAAGAUUACUACCAGCAACUAAAUUGGAGGCAGCUUGACCAUAGGUAUCAGCAUGUGGUCUGCAAUAAGUAUAUAAUAUGCAUCACUAGAUAAUAACAAAAACUCUGUUGAACACUAGAAAAUAACAUACAUUAAAAAGUUGAGAAGAGAAUUUUUUUAAGGUUGUUAAAUCAAGAGAAUUUUUCUAAAGCCAUUUGAUCACGUUAACUGAAAUUUCCUGGAUUAUAUGCUUUUGAGACUUGGUUUUGGACCCAAAUGGAGAAGCUGGAUAAAAACAUGUAUUUUCGCUACUAAUUUUGCUGUGAUCGUCAACGGCGCCCUCCACUUUUUUCAAUGCCUCUAGAGGCCUACGGCAAGGAGAUCCCCUAUCUCCACUCUUAUUCAUUAUUGUGAUGGAGGCAUUGAAUAAACUUAUUGAGAAAGUAAAAUCACUGAACUUGAUUAAAGGGAUUACUGUAGGUAACAGAGAUCACAAAACGGAAAUUUCUUAUCUUUUCUUUGCUAAUGAUUCAUUGAUUUUUUAUCAACCAGAUUUCAGCUCCCUCAUCUUCCUAAAAUGUAUUCUACUAUGCUUUCAGGCUGUCUUCGAUUUACAUAUAAAUUUCCAAAAAUCUGAGAUGGUUUUGUUGGGAAACAACUCUAGAAAUGAAGAUUUCAGUGUGAUUUUGGGAUGCAACUAGUCACAAUUACCUAUCACUUACCUUGGCAUUCUUCUUGGCACCAAGCACAAUGAUAAUAAUUGGUGGGAACUAUGAUCGAUUUGUUAAAAUAACAGAUUAUCUACCUGGAAGAAAAAAUUUCUAUCAAAAGGAGAUAGAUUGACCCUGAUUAAAAGCACACUCUCCAAUCUCCCGAUUUACUUUUAUAGAUGCUUAACAUACCAAAUAAAGUGGCAAAAAAACUACAGCAGAUCGAAUGUAACUUUCGUUGGGGAUAGUGAAAACUGCAAGAAAUACCACUUAGUGAAUUGGUUGGAGAUCAAAAAACCCUUAAAAGAAGGGACCUUGAGACUAAAUAUCAAUAGUCAAACUAAGCAAGGCACUUCUUGGUAGAUGAAUUUGGAGAUAUUGGAAUGAAAAUAACAGCCUCUAGAAAAUGGUGAUAGACUCAAAAUGGUAUAAUGGCAAUCCACAAAAUCUCUCUUAUAUUAAAAGCAACAACUAUGGUUACAGCUUAUGAAAGAACAUCAUCACACUUAGUAAUACGAUAUUUCAGUGCUCAAAAUGGAAUAUUGGUAAUGGGUUCAAGGUCUGUUUCUGGGAAGAUUUUUUGUGCGAUUCAAAAAAACUAAAAGAUAAAUAUCCUCUUAUCUACCGGAUAGCUAAAAACAAAACGAUUUACCCUUCUUACUUCACUUAUUGGCAAACACUAACUCUUAUUAAGAGUAUGAUGGCAAAUAUUCCUGUCUAUUUCAUGUCUCAUUCAAUAGUUCCUGCAAGUGUGAUUAAAAGAUUAGAGGCAAUGCAAGUUAGGUUUCUCUGAGGCUAUUUUGAAGAGAGGAGGAAAUACUAUUUGACCAAUAGUCAUAUCUAUUUCCAUGUCUCUCUCAACGAUCCUUGUAAAUACAGCUAAAAGAUUAGAGGCAAUGCAACUCAAGUUUCUUUAGGCUAUUUUGAAGAGAGGAGAAAAUAGGAAAUACUAUUUAGUAGCUUGAAUGAUGGUUAAACAGCCAUCUGGGAGGGUGUAUUGGAUGUAAGAUCUUUGAUCGAAUUUAAGAGUGCAUUGCAAGUAAAUGGCUUUAGACAUUUAUGUGGGAGAGAGAGAGAGAGAGAGUCUAUGGAGAAAGGUGUUAGUUGGCAAAGUUUCGUUUAAAGAUUUUAAGAUUCAAGGAGCCCAAAGGGCUGCAUGGAGUUGGCUUAUGGAAGAAGAUUAAUUCCAGGAAAGAGAUCUUUCAAAAAUGUAUUAAAUGGAGAGAUGGGUUGUAGGAGGAAAUGAAGUUUUAGAAGGAUGAGUGAAUGGAAUAAGGACCUCUUUUCACAAGGUUUCCAUCUAUUUUUGCCGUUGCUUAGAACAUGAACAUAUCUCUGAAGGACACUCUUGUAGGAAUCGAUAGGGAGCAUAUUUGGUCUAUGAUUUUAUUUAGAAAUCUGAACGAUUGGGAGAUAGAAGAGUACAUGAAUCUUCUCAACUCUCCUACUCAGGUGUCCAUGGAAGGGUAAAAGAUGAACUAGCAUAGAGUCCGAACAAGAAUGGACGAUUUUCUCUCAAAUCCUUGAACCUAUUUUUACCAAGUGGGAGAGAGACACUAAAAAAUUUCCUUCUAGCAUGAUCUGGAAUGCAAAGGCCACAACCAAGGUGGCUUUUUUGCCUGCGAAGCGGUCAAUGAGAGGAUUCUCACAUUAGACAAGCUAAUUAUAAGAGGAAAAACAUUUAUUGGUGAACGGUUGCUAUCUAUGCAAAAAUGGCAAGGAGAGUUGCAAUCAUAUUAUGCUAUAGUGUUUGAUUGCUCACUGACUUUGGUUUUUGGUGUAUGGUCCUUUGGGGAGUUAAUUGAAUCAUUGUUGGCACAACAAGGGAUGAGCUGUGGGCAUGGAAGGGUUUUAACAUGGAAAAAAAAAACACAUAAGGUUUAUUCCCUUGGCCACCCUUUGAACUAUUCGGAAGGAGAGGAAUAGAGGGCUGUUCAGAGGAACUGACUCUUCCUCUGAUAGAUUUAAAGAUUCUUAGUUCCUAAGCUCUAAGCUUUUUUAUAAAAGACUAACCGCUGUAUUCUAACAAGGAUUUUGGGGACCUUAUAAACAUUUUAUUAGACUGAUAAAUAUUUUAUAUAUGGAUUGCAUCGCUGUGGUGUUUUAUUAAUUCACUUUUACUUCUAAAAAAAUAAAGUUGAAAAGAUAGAAUUUAAUUUCAUUAAAAAGAUAACAUGGAGGACUGCUUGUAAGAGCCUCUAACAGAAUGCCAAACCGCCACAUCAGAUAUAAAUCUGGAAAGCAAAAUAUAGAUGAGACUUAUGUUGAUAUAUUUAAAAAGUAAUUCCCAAAAAUAUAUUCAAAAAGUAAACAAUAACAGACCCAUCUAAGUUUGUGAUUUAGACUCCAAAUUAAAUUUCUGCAGUUCAUUCCUGUGACAUUUAGAUUCUGACUAAUAAGAAAGUUACUCAAGAGAAGAGAAAUAUUAAAAGAAAAGCGACCAGAAAACAGAAAACUAAGCACGAAAUCACAGUCAACUCUUAAAAGAGGUCCAAUCCAGCCAGAUAAAGCAACAUGUCUAACUAUCACAUAAUAAACACCAGAAAAAUAUCAUGAACAUAAUUAUCAAAGAAAAAAACCUUGAUUGCAUUAAUAAAAAACAAAAGCAGGGGAAUUAACCAAAAGGUAAAGUCUGGGUAACAUUCUUGAGCAUAGAUUCUCGGCACAGCAAAAUCAUGAGCAAUGUAAUACAUCAACCAUAUACAUCCAAUCAAAAACACAAAGUUCGUUUAGUAUUCUUCAUUCAAUGGCUUAUAUAGGUGAAGAAAUGUCAACAAAUUUGUUGAAUAUUCUUUAUUCAACGGCUCAUAUAGGUGAGAAAUGUCUGCAGAAAACAAGUAACUCUUCAAAUUUCAGAUUCCUGAAUAGCUAGCAGACCAAGAACUACCAGCAGAGUCCACCAAAACAUUUCACCUAAGUAGGCAUCUAUCACCUACAAUAAACAGGUAUAGGGACUUGGCACGAGGACUUUCUUUAAAUUCUUGGUUGGAAGUUGAAACAUAAUUAUUAGUAAUCAAACGCCUAAAAUUCUACAGGUUCGGCUCCUCAAAACCGAAAAAUAAUCUAUAAGUUCCAAAAUUCUUUUUUUUUUUUAAAUAAAAGGAAAAAAUUAUUAAAAGCUGGAGAUUCCCAGAUAUGAAGAAGAGUAUGCUGGUAAAGAAAAAAAAAAGAAAGUAGAAAUAAGCAGAAAUAGGAGGUAGAAAGAAAAGUGGUGACACAAUACAGUAUUAUUGUGUGAGCAGGCCCCAAGAGAGGAAGGAAAUCUUGGCUAAUCUACGCAAGCAUUUUGAUUAAUUAGCUUUGAUUAGGACAAAGAGGUUAGUGAGGUAAGGAGUUUGGAAUAAGGCGGAGUAGGCAUUGUAUGUCAAAUUGGACACAAGAAUUAGCUAAAUAUCCUUAAAAUAGGAAUUUGGUUUUCAUGGUAAAUAUCAUUAUUGGAAGUGGACUAGGAGUUCAUCAGCAUCUGUAAAAUAUCAAAACUUACAGUACAGCUUACCUAUAAACAUGUAAAGACAGUUACCACGGGCAAAUCAAUUAGCAUAAUUAACUAAAACAGACACUACCUUAAUACUACAGAUCGGAAGUUCACUUGAACAGGCCCUGAACCCUUAUUUCCAUAUAUCUCAACCCAUAGCCUAAUAAUUAAAUAUAGGACCAUAACACAUUGAUAUCACGGCGGGAGUAUAUAGAAAAUAUCAAGGAAUGUUAGCAACGGGUUCUUGCACAUGUCCAAGAGAACAGGAACCAUGCAACGCAAAAUGUGAGAAAGAUUGUUCUCUGUUCGAGAAAAAGCAAAAGGAGCUAAGUCAACAGAUUGAGCUGCUGUCCAGGGAGCUUUUAGGUCAGACACCCAACAAGCAACCCAUGCCUGCGAAGUAGGAGCCUGACAAAAAGGAGGAGACAACGGGAAAAAAAGAGCUUGAAGUUCUUGAUUCUGCGUGCAAUAGCAAUGACUAUGUUCACCUUUUUCCUAAUAACAGUAAAAGUGAUGAGAAGCAACAGCAGCAUGAAUCUCAGCUUCAACCCUAUGGAAGGCUUUAUGGGAAUUCAGCAAGCAGGAGUUCCCUUUUCAUCAGAUACCAGUUUUAGAGAACCUGCAUUUGUUAAUGCAAGAGUACUAUAACACACCGUCCUUUGGUGUUUGCAGACAAGCACCAUUGGGGUGAAUGGAGUAAUGUUAUGCCCCAAUAGCCUGCAGUGAAAAAGGAAACUGGAAGAAAGAAAAGAUACGGCACAAAUAUAAUACUAUAGAAUAGGUGCAGGCCCAUGAGAAUGAAGAAAUCUGGAGUUAACUCCUUAUGUAUUUUUAGUUAAUUAGGUUAGAUCAGGAGAGAUUAUUUAGGUUAGGAGUUUGGAAUAAGGUAGAUUAGGAAUUAUCUUUUGUCAAAUAGGAAAAGAAAUCAGCCAAAGAUCCCUGACAUUAGGAUCGGCUUUUAUGUGUUGAUCCUUAUUAGGUGAGGACUAGAAGUUCAUUAGCGGCUGUUGAAAAAGAAAGAAUAUGAUAUUGUUUACGUAUAAGGAUGUAAAUAGUUUGCAUAAAUAAAAUCAACCAGCGAAUAAUUAACUAAAAACAGCUUCUAGAGAUCGGUGGCUUCUCCCUAACAAACCCCAAACCAUUCCACAUACCUCAACUCAUAACUUGAUCCUUGAAUAUGGGACCAUAAAUACCUAGGUUUCUGAGCAAGAAGUCUUAAACAUCAUAUUUAAGGCUUAGUUUGCAUUAAACAACCAACAAGAAUAAGAAACUCUAGAAGAAAUUUAUUGAGUAACUGAAGGCUCCCCGAAAAUGUAAAUUUUACAAAAAUAUUCAUAAUGUUUAGUAAGAAACCUUUGCUAAAUAAAAUUAAACCAAGAAAUGCUAAUAUUAAUAGGAUUAGGAAAUAAAAGUAUCAAUAUAAACUGAAAAGCUAAACACUAAUAAGAAUAAAAUCCUAAAGUUACUAAAACUAUAACUAUAAACUCAUAAAUAUUGUAGUAGUUUUAUAUUAACAGAACUAUAAUUUCAAAUCUUAGGCACUCUAGUGCUAGCACAUUCUGCAUCAUGGUGUUAACAGUUCCACAUGGUAAGACAAAUCUAAAAUUAACUGUACAAGUUAACAAGGACUAGAAUGACAAUUUAGCCAAAUGGAAAUAAGAUACUCUUCAAUGAGAAAUAGUUCUAUUCUCAAGGUAUUUUCCUCUUUCCUUUUGCAUAGAUUCAAGCCUAGUCAAUCUAGAUAGAAACUGCUUGCUUGACCUAAUAUUUACCCAAGCUGAUACUUCUUCAGAACCUUGUUUCCUUUUUAAUUCGUAGAAUCUCCAUAAGGUUUAUAACAAUCUGUAUUAAAGCCGAAAGACGACUUAUGAUCUUAAUAUUCUUCAGAACUCAAUCCAAAAAGAAAAGCAUCAACUAGAUUUAAACUAGAUUUACACAAGAGUCCACUUGCUUCCACCUUGUUAUGAUAAUCCUUUACGGUUAUUUAGGAUUAAAUGCAAAGACCUCUUUUAGUCAAGUAUGUUUAUCCUCCAGCUUGUUCUUUCUUCCACGCUCUUCUUUCAUUUUCUAAAUCUAGAAGCCAACCCACUUGAGAAACUGACCACCAAUUCAUCUUCCUCCAACUGCAGUACAAACAUCAGGCUGCGAAACCAGUAUUUGAUUCUAGAGAUCUUAUAGUUUCAAUGCAAGUCUCAGAAUACUUCUGACACUUGGGUAAGACAAUGAAUAGGAUAACUUUGUAUGACAGUGCAGAGUACAGAUGAGCAAGGUUGGUGUGAAAAAGCUUCCUCUUAAAAAUGUUUGCUUGUUGUUGUUUUAAAAGCUUUUUGUCAUAAAAAAGUAAUCAUAGUGCUAGUAAAUUAUUUUUAUAAGAUACAACUGAGAUGCUGUGCAAAAUUUGUGUUUUUGGCAACAAUAGAUGUAAAAGUAUUAUACAAGUACAAUUAACAUGUUUAUAUUUUAUUUAAGGAAAAAAUCUCUUUUGAAGUUAAAAUCUAUUUAUAUAUUCUAUAUUAAUUUUUGGGUAAGAUUAGCAGCAGUAAGAAAUUAAAAUUUGGUCAUUAUUUUUAUUUGCUUCUGUUGAAAGCAUAUUUUGCUGCUUUGAGAAAGCAACUAUGUGGUUGAUUUCCCAAAGCAGCAAAAUUUGCUUUUCCAAUUGAAAAUUUUUUGAAAAAAAAAUCGAAAAAUAGAUCACCAAACAUGACUUCACUGAAAGGACGGUUGUUCUCUGGAGAAAGCAACUCCAAAAGCUUUACCAAAUCUGAGUGUUAAUAUUUUUGCUAUAUACAUAGGCAAACGGAGGAGUACGUAAUAUUAUGACCAUAAUUCCCUUUCCUUAAUAUUUUUUCAAAUACUAAAGUUUAAUUUAAAAUUUUAAUGUAUACCAAUACAAUAAUAUAUUAAAAUAUUUAAAGUAUAAAAUUAUUUUUAAGAAAAUAAUAAUAUAAAAUCAUUUCUGAGAUUUGUAUUUUAAGCUAAUUAUUAAUUUAAUAAAAAAAAUUAAAGAGUAAAUGUUAAUAUAUUUUAAAAAUAUUAGCAACUAAUAUAUAAUUUAAAAUAAAUCUACAUAACAAUAAGACAAAUUUAAAUCCUAAGAUGCUUUUAAAGUAUAAUAUUAUUUUUAAAACAUAAAAUUAUUUUCAAAUUAUCUUUUAAAAUUAUGAUGACUUUAGACCACGAAAAUUCAAACCAGGAAUUUACAAUAAUAGUUCCCAAGUCCGAAAAAGAUAAGAAUCGAGGAGAAUUACUACCUGUACAUGCUCAUCUUUUCCAUAAGCUCCAUGUUAAGAUCUCUAGAGAAUAAUUUAAAUGGAAAUAUAUCAUAGUAGGAACAGAAUUCUCACCUAGCUCCUGCUGCAUCUGAGGUAGAUACAUUGCUCUUUGGGACCCUACAAAAGGAAAGGUUACAGGAUAUGGAAGAGACAUCAAUAUAGAUCCCAGAAAAACAAUCAAAAAGAUAGUCCAGUGCAUUUUAUUAGUAAAUUGCCUCUAAAAUUUGUCAUUUGGUGCCAUGUCACCUUGGAGACCAAAAGUUUGUAAGUCCUAAUAGUUCAACUACUGAAAAGAAGAGUUCAAUGAACUUACGUCGCUUGCUCUGGCGGAGCAGAAACUGAAACUGGUGCAGUUGUUGAUGCAGUUGUUGAUGCAGUUGUAGAAGUGGGCUGGGAUAAAAGCAGAAUCAAUAUUCUACAGAAAAAUGAUACGCAAACAAGAAAAAGCACAAAAAUAAAAGGUUACCUGAGAAGAUGAAGUCCCAGAUGAACCCAGACUUUUGCUCUAUAAGAGGAAAGUUAUGCGUCAGUAAAAUGUACACAGCAUACUGAAAAAUUGAUGCACAGAACAAAGGAAAAUGCAAGGAUUGCCAAUACGGAUUCACCCAAGCAUACAACUGCAAGAGAUCAACUUCAAAGAGCUAAUACUGAAGAGAUCAACUUCAAAGAGCUAAGGCAGGCUACCAAAAUGUGGUAUUCCUACUCGUAUAAGUAGAUGGUUAAAACUUUGUGGUAAAUUGAUACUGACAGUAGAUGCUUGAGCACCCAUUUUUCCAAGGAGAUCCUUGGGGGGUUAUUCUCUUGCAACAAAGACAAAGCUUAAGGCCGAAAUGGUUUCUCCAUGGCUUCAGAGUAGGAAAUUGUUAAGGGUGAUAUUAUUGACCUGUUUGGGGAAUUCUUGCAUUCUAGAAAGUUUUGUUAGUACUUCCAAUGCUUAACUUUUGGUGUUUAUUCCCAAAAGGUUACAGGGGCAAUAAACUUUAGGUACUUCAUACCUAUUAACUUGGUGGGAAGAUUGAGUUACGUUGUUUACUAAGGUGGGGGAAGCUCAACAAGUUUUUGUGAGUCAAGUUGUUGAUAAUGGUGUAUGUAGCUCUUAAAAGAGAACCCCAAUUUUGCUGUGCAAACUGGAUAUUAAAAUGUAUAUGAUCAUGUCUCAUGGUCUUUUUUCCUUUGUCUACUAAACCCCCAACCAACCCCCCACCCCCCCAAAACUGAUGCUAGUACAAACUUUUACUCAUUCCCUUAAUUAGUCAACCGCUACUUGACUUCUUACUAACAAAUCCUAUUAUUUUAAAAAAGAAGCCAAAGAAACCCUGUAGCCAAAGAAACCAUCCUAUUAUUUCAAAUACUUUUAACAUGCUUGCUCAUAGUGAAUUAGUUAUUGCAUAUAUUUCAACAAAAAAAAAAAGGAAUUAGUUUCAUAAGUAUAUAUUUUUUUAUCUGAUUUAUUAUUAAAUUAAUUAAUAAAUGUCAAGUGAAAAACAUUAACUUUUACACUUCCUUACUCAUAUAAAUCUAUUAAACUGCCUUUAUAUGAAGAAUAGUUUAAUUUAAUUAAAAAGAAAAGGCUACUAUAACUUCAAUUAUAUUCCACUUAAUUCUUUUUUAUUUAAAUAUAUAAACAAGGGCAAAUAUGUAAUCAUAUUUCUGUUGAUUUUUAAGUAUUUAAUUAACAAUAAGGGGGAAAAUGCAUUACCUUAAUAUAAAUGGGGUUAAGUGUAUUGGGCGGUGGCUGGUUCAAUAAGGGAUGAGAUUUUUCCCUGGAAGGAUAUUGGUGGUGGGAAGAAACAUGUGGGUCUCAUCUCCUUAGCCAUAUUUGGGUGUCGGAAAAGAGAGAAACAUGAGAACUUUUAAGGGGGUGGAAGGUGAUUUUGAUAGAAUUAGAGAUAAUUGGUUCCAAACCAUGGGUCUUCGAUUAUAGGUCAUCCACUUUAUUUUAUAGAGAAUUUUGGAGAUCUCAUUGAUAUUCUGAUUGAAAUUUUAAAUAUUUUUGUAUAUGGGUUGGAACACUUGAUGCUUGUGAAUUUAUUAUUUACCGUAACUUUAUUUUCAAAAAAAAAAGGAACAUGAGGCUUUAAUUUCUGUUCUCACCAUGGUAAGAUUUGAUGGAAUCAAUAACCAGCCCAUUUGGAGGCUUAAUGCUUCUGGAGUGUUCGCGGUUAGAUCUUUAUAUAAUCAUUUGACUAAAAAAAGAGAUAUCGAGUAUAGGAUUUCCAUUUAAGCAAAUAUGGAAGGUUAAUGCUUCUCCUAGAAUUAUUUUCUUGCUUGAGAGGCAAGCAGGGGAUGUAUUCUGAUUUUAGAUAAACUGAUCAAGAGGGGUAGGAUUCUAGUCAAUGGGUGUUAGUUAUGCAAGAGAAAUGCAAACUUGUGUUAUCAUAUCUUCUUGUGAUAUUGGCAGGGGGAAGAAACAUAUUAGCCUCACUUCCCUAGUCACUUUCUUGGUGGCCUGGAAGGAGCAAAACAAGAGAGUUUUUGAUAGCAUGAAAGUGAACUUCGAUACGGUUAAAGAUAGGUGGUUGCAAACCCAAAGUUAUUAUUAUGGGCUAUCUUCUUUAUUCAUCUGAGGAUUCGGAGAACCUUAUUGACAUUAUGAUAGAUAUGUAAAUACCUUCGUACAUGGGUUUGCACCCCUUUAGUGCUUAUGAAUGGAUUAAAUCAUACUAUUUUUAUUUCUAAAAAUAUAUAUUGAUUGUUCACAUGAUUUUCAAUCAAUUCCAGAAGUUAAAGUAUAGAAAGCUUGAUAGGCCAUAUGCUGCUUUCUAUAAAGUCCCAAACCUCUAAGCUUGCACCUCCCUACCCCUGAUACUUUCAAGGAACCUUACUAAUAACUAAACAUCUAGAUUUGGACAUUGCUAUGAUGAAGAGAAACUGAGCACAUAUUAUUUCAAAAACUUUGAAUACAAAAUGAUCAAAUUACUUGUACCUUCCUAGUACAAUACCUUUUUUUCUGGAGAGAAUCUCUAGGAGUUCAGUAUCUUCAUGUCACUAAACAAGAUCCAAAUUAAGAGUAUGUUUUAUAUUAUGCAUGAUACUUAAAAUACAUGGCAUUUUGAUUGUGAAAAUACACCAGAUUUAAGGAUAUUUGCGAGAUAUUAUUUAUUAGGUACAGAAAGACGUUUAAGAUUGAUGCAUCUAUAAAGAUGUAAAAUGACAUGGAGAACAAUCUCCAAUUUAGUUAAUAGAGGAAACUCAAUUUAGGGCUAUUAAUUUUCAAUGAAAUCUAUUCUUCCCCCCUGAUGCAGCGAAAAAAACUGGAACUUCUAAACUAUAAUAAAUAUUUCUGAUUCUUUUCUUUUUUACUAUACAUAAGAUUGUAUGCUGAUCGUUGCUUAGCUUUUCUAUUAAGUUGUUUUCCUUAAUUAUCCUAUUCCCUCCUAUUGACAAGAAUAAGGUAUACUCCAACAAAUAAAUUUAAAAGAAACAAUGAAAGAAGGAAGAAUCAUCAAAAAACAAUUACUUAUUUGUUUUUUGUGAAUCCCCAGAUGACCUUAGCUAAAUCUUUUUAUCAAAACCAGAAGCCAUGGCUUUCUCAAUCAACAAAAUGUUAAGAAUUUCCCAGAAUAAUGACAAAAUCCUCUAAUUUGUAGAUAAAAAUUAAGAUUAGAAAAUUUUUUUUGAACAAAAUGAAAACUAUAAAAAAUUAGCAUAUUUAAAGCAUUUAUAAACAGACACACUUAAUAGAGUAAUGUCUCUGUCUAUUUUUCUCAUUUCUGGAAAAAGAAGAUAGUGAGCAAACAGGAACUCUGUCAGUAACAUUAUCUUAGGCCAAAAGAAAUAAACAUAGCUUGGUAAUAACUCUGCUUCAAUAAAUCUAAUGGAAAACUGCCUACCCCGUUAUUUUACUUUCCAUAAUUGACAUGAUAGUUGACGAAUUUAUCCAAUUCAACACAUAAGGGGAAGGAAUAAAGCAAUACAGUAAAAUAAUUUGCUAGUCAAAUGAGCAAAUCCAGUCAACAUCAUGUUUGACUAUAAUGCUAAACAUGAUGAAGAUAUUUCUGAAACAUAUAACAAUGAAUCCAUAACUAAAAAAUAAAUCACUUCGUGUAAUAGAUCAUCGGACAUGUAACAAGUGUCAUCAUUGCAAAACUACAAGUUUCACUUAAAAUGGAUGUGAUGGUAGAUAUAGAAAGUACAAAUAUUUACCUAAGCAUGAACUGACAAGAGUAGAAACAUAACUAAAACAUUAUUUAGUCAACUAGCUCCAAAUAAGAUAAAAAUGAAAUAAGUACCUUGCUAAGCAUGACAACAAGAAAACCGUCUUCAGAAACUUUGUUGUCAGCGAGCGUAGUUUCAUCCUUCAAGACCUUUCCAUUGUGAAUCAAUAGCUGCUGGCCACAUGGAUAAUUGUCUUUCCCUUGAACAUCUUCAAUAUUUUUCUUCACAGCCAUAAUCUUAAGGAAAACAAGCAGAAUUAAGCUCAAGAAAACCAAAAAAGAUAAUUUCCAAUGCCUCAAACAGCAUGAGGAUUAAACAUAAUAAAACUCCUAUUAUGCUAUUUCAAAAUUAUUCAAAAAAUUCAAAUGAAUUAUUCAUCAAUUGAAUCAGAUAAAUCUUUCAACUUCUUUCCUGAACAACGAUUAAAAAAAUUUUAAAAAACCAGUUUAAAGCAUGUGUGCAUAAUAAGAACAGUUUUAACAGCAUUGAGCAACCGAAUCAAAGUGACCACAGAUUUCAUUUUUAAAUAAUACUAAGAAGCCGCAAAAAUUCCUCCACACAAGUUCAGAAUUGUAUAGAUAUAAUCACAUAUCCAUGUUUCAAAAUUAAAAAAAAAAAAAAUUAGAGUAGACACGUCUGCGUACAUACUUUACAAAUAAGCACGAAGUAAGGCUGUAUAUGUUCAUAACAAUAAAAGCGAAUAAAAAGAGAGAGAAACAACUCACGGUCUCUGUGGGCUGAACCCUAAUUUCGAAAUGGCUGCCUUUAAGAGUCUUGACUGUCAGCUUCAUCUUGGCGAAUUAGUAAAGGUGCGGUCCUGUAUCCCUUCAAUCCAGACUACACGGAGAGUAUCGAGAGACAAAGACAGCAGAAAAAGAAAUAUAUAUAUAUAUAUAUAUUCAAAAGAACCCUAGAAAUCGCUUUUAAGGGAUCGAGAAUUAAUCCCAAAAUGGUGUGUGUUCACCAUAUGCGUGCGUUUUGCACUAAGCAGAGAACGAGGUGGCACAGCUUUUGUUUUUGUUUUUUUGCCCUUUUUCUUUUAGAAUACUAGAUAUUUGAAUUUUAAAUAAAUCUAUUAUUUACUAUUUUAUCUAUUAUUUGUCAUCUAUUAUUAUGUAAUAAUAAGUAAUCCGCAUACAUGCAUGCAUUAAUUUUGUAUUCAUUAAUAUAUUUUUAAAAAUUAAAAAUUAAUGUAUUAAUAUUAAUUAUAAUUAUUAAAACUAUAAUUUUAAGAUAAAAUUAUUUUUCUAGAAUAAUUAAUUACCAAUUAUAAAGGAAUAAGCUUAUAAAAAUAAGGCAAAUGUUAUGUAGUGUUUUCUUAUUUCUUAAAUAAUUUUAUAAGCAGAAAAAUAUAAUUACUAUAUUAAUAUUUUUAUAAUUAUGCAAUUAAUAAUAUUUGAUGUUUUCAAUUAGUUUAAAUGUAUUAUGUAUUUGAAUUUUAAAAUUUAAAAUAUAUUUUAAAUAAUAUUUAAAGUCUUUCACGUUCAUUAUUUAGAUUAUUUAUUUAAAUUUUUAAAUAUAAAAAUAUAAAUUAAAGAACAUAAAAUUUUUAAUUGAUUGAUAUAUAUUAGGAAUUGUUUUAAUCUCAGGUUUUAAAAAUUUUUUAACUUAUAAAUAGCAAGUAUUUAUAUUGCAAAAGUCACCAUCAUCAUAAUAUUCUUUUAUUUAUAUUAGAAUUUAUACUUCUCUGAUAUUCAAGAUUAAUGUUUUUUUGGUUUGUUUUCAGUAAGUGCAAUGUUAUAAUCUAACAUGCAGUUCGUAAUACAUAUGCAACUAAAUUUAACAAAUAGAGUAAAAAAACGAAAACCUUGCAUAAUGUUUGUGCUAGUGGAAUCAAUGAAAAAGGUUGGAGGUCAAGAACAUUAUGAUGAGAAAUUAUUAAAUUUAAUACGAAGAAUAAUUUGAUAAAGAUAUUAUUGCACAUUUAUUAAUUCAUUUUUCACAAAAAUAAUAAUCAGACAAAGUAUCUUUGAAGCUCCUAUAUAUUUUGUAUUUUUUUCAAAUAAGCUUCUAAAUCAAGUUUACAUUUAUUUGGUCAUUUACUUUCAAAUUUUCUCUAAAUAAAAUUGCACAACAAACAAUUAUUUGGAACUUAUUAAACUUUUUCACAUGUGACUGAUGAUGUGGUUGUUAUUUAUGUUGCUAAAAAUAUUAAUACUUGAAAGUCCAUGUAUAAUUUAAUUUUUUCAAAUAAACUCUUGUACUAAUUUUUCAUUCAUAUUGAUCAUAUACUUUCAAACUUUUUUCAAAUAAGCUAUCACUAUAAAUGGUCAUUUAAAACCCAUUAAACUAUACGUAUAUGACAAAUGACAUGGCCACAUUUUAUGUUGGUGUAACAUGUAUGUUGACAUGUUAUUCACGUAUAAUAGACAUUUUAUUUUUUAAUUUUUAAUAUCUAAGUUUAUUUUUUUAUUAAAAGUUAAUAUUUAAAUUAUUUCAAACAAUAGAACUUCCUACCUCUAAACUCUCACAAUUCUGUAUACAAAACAUCUUCCAUCCUUUUACAAUUAUUUAUUAGAUUUAUUCUUUGAAUAUCCAAUCAAAUUUAAGAUUCAAAAUUUAGGCAAUAGAUAUUAUGUUAGUAGAAGGAAAGAUGUUCAUAUUAGGAUUUAUCAAUUUCAUUUCACUCAUUUAGGCUUUUCUUGAAUCCUAGAUGCAAGAAUUCACAAUGUUUAAAGAAUAAAACCUUCAUAGGUUUAAAAUAAAAAAAGUAACAAGAGUUUUGUUAUAUACUGAACUUCAUCUCCUCCCUCGAGUUUUUAUUCCAUUAUUACCUUUGCACGUCUCACCAGUGUUGUAAUGAAAUCAUUCUUACUCUCUAAUGUUUGUGUCGCAUGUCUUAUUGCCGCCAACUUCUUCUAUUCUAGUGCUAUACAUCAUUUUUCAACACUUGAACGUUCCAUGAACUUGUGGUGGGGAUAGGUUAAAGAGAGACUUUUGUUCUAACUUUUAUACUAUCUCUUCAUUUUUAUAGUUUUAAUGGCUUUUUUCUGGCUACAAAUGAGGAAAAAAAUAAAAACACGAACAAAACUAAUGCCCAUUGGGAUGGGCCUACAUAAUAUUAACAUGGUUCAUAUACAGAUAAACAUGAAGAUCCAUAGGAGCCUCAGAUAAUACCAAACCACCCAAGGGCUAUGUUGAGCCAAUCAAACCAUAUGAAUUGUGCAAGUAUUACCCUUAUUAUGAAUAUAAGAGAGCUAAAUAUCUUAAUCAAGGCAGAACACAUAUGUGAUAUGAUUUUCUAUAAUAAUAUGAUCAAAGUGGUGGAGGAAUGGUUGUUGGAAGAUAUGCUUGAUCUGGAAUAAAUCCACCUUGACAAUGAGUUUUUUAAGGACUGAUACUUGUCACGCGUUACUACCUUGGUCAACAUAUUAGCUAAAUUUUUAUCAGUAUGAAUAUUUUUCAAUAAUAUCUCUUGAUUAUUCACCACUUUACGAAUCCAAUGAUAUCUCAUAUCAAUAUACUUAUUAUAUAAAUCUGAACAGUAUCAAAGGGAAUUUCUAUGAGGGAGUCGAAACCCGUGAGGAUUCCUUCCUUAAGUUGAAAGCCUGAAACCCGAGCAUUGAACAGGAAACCAAGGAAGGGUCUAGUUUUUUCAUAUUCUGUCCCAAAAAAUAAAGUAGUUCAAAGACACUUAAGAUGGACUUGAGGAGUUAAGAAACUGGAUCUAAGUACCUUCUGACCCAAUCACAAGAAGUCGUGCCAAUAAGUUUCAACUACCAUUCAAUUUAUUGGCCUAAGAAUGGGUUAAGGAGGAGCUUAACUAGGAGGCCCAAGACAAAGUUCAAGCAAGGCUGGUCGGCCUUGGAGAGUGGUGGACAACAUGUGCCGCGUAUGUGAACCUUCUUGUUCACAUGUGCCACGCAUGUGAACCUUUUUAUUCAUAUAUGCGGGUAGUCGCAUGUGUAGAAAGGAGACCUCGCAUCCAUGGGACCCUUUCUCAUGUGAAGAAGUAAGAGGGAAAGCGGGAAAGCCUCUUCCACAUGCUGAGAAGUGCACUAGUGUGGGAGCAGCAGGCCACACCCACAAAGUUGCUCACAUGGGAGUCGCGCACGUGCAUAAGACCACGUACAUGAGGAGUCAUAAAUGUUGACACCCGAGCGCCUGUGGGAAGCCAUGCCCACACGGGUAGGGCGUGCAGACUGAGUUGAGGUUGAGGAGGACUCUUUUUCCUUGAUCCUUUUUCUACAUGUGAUUUGCAAGAUCAAUUUUCUAAGAAGAAUUCUAAGGCAACUAGAAAUCUACAGAGAGAUUAAAGGCACAUGGGAAAUACGGUGAAAAUGAGAAGAAUCUUCUAGUUAAUAUUAAUAUUUUACUAAUAUUUUAGAGUUAAUCUUUAUUUAUAUGAUUAUUUUAUUAUUAAUUUGGGUUUGGGAUUUAGAUAAGUCUAUAUUUGAGAUAUAAUUUCAAUUAAAUUAUAGUAUUUAUUUUUUAAUAGAAUUUACCUAGUGAAAGCUUGUAUAAAGGCCUCACCUUAUAUUUUAAUUCAUAACUUUUAAUAUCAAUAAAAUUAUUUAGUUUAUUUUUAAAUCAAAUUUGCUAAUUUUGAGAGUGAGUGGUCAUCAAUAGAGCUUACUUCAAUCAUCUUGUUGAGCUAAGGAAUCUUGAAUUGACUUAUGGGAUAAGUCAUGACAUCUUUUAAAUUCCUUCUUAUUUUUCUAAUUACCUUAAUANNNNNNNNNNNNNNNNNNNNNNNNNNNNNNNNNNNNNNNNNNNNNNNNNNNNNNNNNNNNNNNNNNNNNNNNNNNNNNNNNNNNNNNNNNNNNNNNNNNNNNNNNNNNNNNNNNNNNNNNNNNNNNNNNNNNNNNNNNNNNNNNNNNNNNNNNNNNNNNNNNNNNNNNNNNNNNNNNNNNNNNNNNNNNNNNNNNNNNNNNNNNNNNNNNNNNNNNNNNNNNNNNNNNNNNNNNNNNNNNNNNNNNNNNNNNNNNNNNNNNNNNNNNNNNNNNNNNNNNNNNNNNNNNNNNNNNNNNNNNNNNNNNNNNNNNNNNNNNNNNNNNNNNNNNNNNNNNNNNNNNNNNNNNNNNNNNNNNNNNNNNNNNNNNNNNNNNNNNNNNNNNNNNNNNNNNNNNNNNNNNNNNNNNNNNNNNNNNNNNNNNNNNNNNNNNNNNNNNNNNNNNNNNNNNNNNNNNNNNNUCACUUGUAUUUUACCACUCUCAACUUUAAACUUCACUUGCCAAGUUGAACGUUGAGAAUGGGAUCUCUUAAAUUGAGUCCUAUAAGUUGAAAGUAAUUUUGCAAGAAAAUUCUAAUAGGCUUUAGACGUUUAAAACAUGCACGAGUGAAUAAAUGUGCAAUAUAGACUAAAAAAUACAAUAAAUUUAAAUAUGGAGCAAAGGUUUUCGCACGCCUUACAUAAAUGUUUAAUAUUCUUUACUUAUGCAAUACGAAAACAAAAGUUUUUGCACACAUCUGGUUAGUGAGGUUAAUAUUCUUUUGACAAAUCAAAAUUUCUCGUCACUUGAUAGGUGGUUAAUCUUCUUUGGUUUAUAUGCAACAUAAUGACUCAGGUUGCCUUAUGGGGUGCAACUAGUUUUCUUGAGUUUUAUAAUUAUAUAUAUUUUUUUGACUUGAUACAUCAAACAAACUUCCACUUGAAAGAAUGAACAUGAUAGGAUCAAGCAGGAUUCAAAUUCACAAGCAAUACAGAUUAGCAAUGAGGUGUUUUUGUUGUUAAUUAUGCAAGACACAAUGUAAAGUAAGAUAAUACAGUAUGCUCAAUAAGGUUCCUAAGCUUUCAUACCAAAUGGCGUGGGGUGUAGAACAAUUACUCCACGGCUUAAAAACACUCUGAUCAUGAACCUACUUUAUUCAACAAUUCAAAACUUAGUUACCUAAAUUAAACCCCCUAUUAGAAUUACAAACAAUGUAUUGAAGGUUUAUUCAAGUAACUAAGAAAAAUAAAAAGAAUAGAGAAAGACGCCACAACUUAUCUGAUAAGUCGAUCUCGAUUCCAUGCUCCACAAAACAGUAUGAAGCUCCUACCUUGAAGACACCUAAAGAACUUGAAAAUUAACAGAGCUAAUUUAAAACAAAAGCUUUUCUUUAUUGAAUUUUGAAGAUAUGUAUUUUACAAUCUAUGGUGAACCCUUUUUAUAUGAUUUCACUUGAUCACGUCUAUUAUAAUACAAAUACUUGAAUUUAAUCCAAAUUCUACCUAGAUAAUUGUUUAUCCUAAUCUGAGGAUUAAAAUACACUUAAAAUAAUCAUGAAAAUAAUAAUUUAUUCUAAUCUUAAGAUUAAAAUAAUAAAUAUUUAAUCCUAAAGAUGAAACAUAAAAUUAAAUUAUAAUAAAAUAAUAUUAAAAUAUUUAUGUAGAUAAAUUUUCUCAUUCUUUUCAUGUGCUGAAAGUAGAGUUACUAUAAAAUCCUUAAAAAAAUUGGCCGCCAAAAACACAUGGAGAAAUUGGAGAAAAGGAGUACAUGCGGUUACACUUCUUCCCACACAUAUGUUCCUUUUUGUGGGAAGGAAAUCCCACAUGCCUCACCCAAAUGGGAGAGAAAAGCUCACAGGUGGGGCAGGUUGCAUGUAGGGNNNNNNNNNNNNNNNNNNNNNNNNNNNNNNNNNNNNNNNNNNNNNNNNNNNNNNNNNNNNNNNNNNNNNNNNNNNNNNNNNNNNNNNNNNNNNNNNNNNNNNNNNNNNNNNNNNNNNNNNNNNNNNNNNNNNNNNNNNNNNNNNNNNNNNNNNNNNNNNNNNNNNNNNNNNNNNNNNNNNNNNNNNNNNNNNNNNNNNNNNNNNNNNNNNNNNNNNNNNNNNNNNNNNNNNNNNNNNNNAGUUUUCAAAUCUUUCUAAUAUCAUGUCAUCAAGUCUUAGAGUGAGUCAACAACAACGUUUACACCAGUUAAGCAUGGAGUGUUCAUUAUAUUUUAUGUUUCUCUUUUUAAUGUAGGUGAAGAUUGGAGGAUGAAUCUUUUUAAAGAAGGUGGGAUGAUGUGAAUCCAUACAGUAUCAAGGGGAAUUCCUGUGAAGGAGUAAAAACCCACGAGGAUUCUUCGCUUAAGUUGGAAGCCACUAGCUAGAGCACUGAUAAGGAAACCAAAGAAGGGUUUAGUUCAUUUCCUAUCCUGUCCCAAAAAGGAAAACAAUUCAAAGGCAUUCAAGAUGGGUUUGGGGAGUUAAGAAACUGGAUCCAAGUACCUUCUGACCCAAUCACAAGAAGUCAGACCAAGAAGUUACAACUAACAUUUAAUUUGUUGGUCCAAGAAUAGAUCAAGGAGGAACUUAAUUAGGAGGCCCAAGAUAAGAUUCAAGCAAGGUCGACUGGCCUUGGAGAGUGGCAGUCAACAUGUGCUGCUCAUGUGAACCUUCUUGUUCACAUGUGUGGGCAGCCGCAUGUGUGGAAAGGAGACCUUGCAUCCACAAGAUGCUUUCCUUGUGAGGAAACGAGAGAGGCGUGCGGGAAAGCCUAUUCCACAUGCUGAGAAACGCACUUGUACGGGAGCAGCAUGCCAUACACACGAAGCAUGAGACCGCGCGUAUGAGGAGUCACACAUGUAAGAUUUCGCGUGCAUGUAAAAAGCCAUGCCCAUGUAGGCAAGGCGUGUAGACUGAGUUGAUGCCAAGGAGGACUCUUCUUCCUUGAUCCUUUUUCCAAUGUGAUUUGCAUGAUCAAUUUUCCAAGAAGAAUUAUAAAGCAACUAGAAAUCUAAAGAGAGAUUAAAGGCACAUGGAAUAUGGUAAAAAGGAGAAAAAUUAUCUAGUUAAUAUUUUAUUAAUAUUUAAUUAAUAUUUUAGAGUUAAUCUUUAUCCAUAGGAUUAUUUUGUUAUUAAUUUGGGUUUGGGAUUUAGAUAAGUCUAAAUUUAGGAUAGAAUUUUAAUUAAAUUGUAAGACUUUUUUCAGUAGAAUUUAUUUGGUGAAACCCUAUAUAAAGGCCUCACUUUAGGUUGUAAUUCACAACUUUUAAGAUCAAUAAAAUUAUUUAGUUUAUUUUCUAAUUUUGAGAGGGAGUGUUCUUUAAGAGAGGUUAUUUCAAUCAUCUUGUUGAGCCGGAGAAUUUUGAAUCGACUUAUUGGAUAAGUCAUGACGUUUUUUUAAUUCCUUUUUGUUUUCCCAUUUAACUUAAUAGAUUUCACUUUAUUGAUUGUGAUUUAAGUAGAGAGGGUUUAAUUUAGACAAUUAAGUAUCUGCAUGCUAUGUAUAAUGGGUUCAUGAUCAAUGUAUUUUUUUAUCCUGGAGCUCCCGAUGUCAACUUAGUUCGACAAUGAUAUGUGACAUUAUUACUUAAAUCUAUAGCACUUUGGCUAUCAUAAUUCAUCAUAUAUUUAUCUUGCCUCAAAGGCAGCUCUUUAAGAAAUUUUUUCAUAUAGAGAAUUUUUUUGCCUACUUUAGUCGUAGCUAUAUACUCUACCUCAGUUGUGGAUAAAACAACACAUUUUUGCAAUUUAGACUAUUAUGAUACAAUUCCCCUCGCAAAAGUAAACACAUGACCUGAAGUAAAUUUCCUACUAUCAAGGUCACUGACCAUAUCCACAUCUGUAUAUCCCUUUAGAAUUGAUUUUGAGCUUCUAAAAUAUAAGCACAUCUUAGAGUAUCUCUUAAAUAUCUAAGAAUCUAUUUUACAGUCUCUUAGUGAUCUUUAUCAAGAUUAGAAAAAAACCUGCUGACUAGACCAACAACAUGAGAAUAUUUGGUCGGGUAUAAAUCAUAACAUGCAUUAAACUCCUAACUGUAGAGGAGUAAGGAAUGAUUGUUUGAUGUGAACUUGAACACAUAAGAAAGGCAUUUCUAAGAGAGUUGAGAGAAGUAUGCCCGUGAGUAGUAAGGAGAAUCCCAUGUUCGCGAGAUCACCUGCGAGAAAUGCUCGAGAGAUGAAGUCCGCGUUUAUAAGGACAAUACAGGAGGCCAUCCGCGGGUGCACCAAAACAACAUGCAUAGGCCCAACAUCCACGCACCUAUAAGGCACGCAGAAGAGAAAUCCCACACCUGCAGGGAUUCCCAAACCCACAAAAAUAUAGAUUCCUCUUUCCCUUUGGAUUUUCGCGAGCUUGUAACAAAAAAUGAAAGUCUAAUCCGCCUACUCUAGUUUCCUAACUAGUCUCAAGCCCAAGAACAAUCCAAAAUCAUUCAAGAUAAGCUUAGAGAGUUAGAAAAUUUGAUCCAAAUACCUAUAGGCCCAAUCAUAAGGAAUCGGUCCAAGAAACUUUAAUAAACUUUCAACUAUUUAGUCUAAGAGUAAAUAAUUGAGGAGUUGACUUUAGAGGCCAAAGAAGUUACAAGAAAAAGCCCAGAUUUCAUGGGCAACUUACAGGUUAAGCAUGUCAAACAUGUGAGUGUCCUAAUCACAUGUGUAGCCAAGGGAAGGAACCCAAUCCCAUGGGUUUUCUUGCAGAUUGAGGAAUUCUUCCUCAUUUAAAACUCAUCUCCUUUCAAGAUCAGAUUAAAGAGUCCUUCUAGGACUUAAAGUUGCAACAUUAAGAGGAUAAGGAAGAACAAAACAAGUUCUAGCGCAACUAGAAGUUGUGGGAAACAGAUCCCACAUGGGAAAGACUCCCGCCAGUGUGGGAGAGUUUUAACUCAAGAGGGACAAUCUUCUCUCUUCAUUUUUCACACUUUUUCGUGUCAUUUGUUUUCUUUUUCAAAUAAGAUUCAUCCUAAAAAGGAGUCUUCACCAAAUUAAAGAUAAAAUUCAAGAAGAAGACAAGGAAAACAUGGUGAAAUUUGGCCAUGAGAGGAGAAGAGCACUUUGACUUUGAUUUUUUUCUUUUAAUUAUUAUCUUAAGUUUUUUGAUUAUGAUACGUUUAGUUUUAGAUUAAGAUAAUCUAAGAGUUUGAGAUAAAUAAUAAAGUUUGAUUUUAUUUAGAAUUAAUUUGUUGCAAGCUUAUAUAAAGGGUUUACACUUAGAUUAUAAUACAUAAUUCAAUUCAAAUCAAUAAAAUUUUAGUUUAUUUACUAAUUAACUUAUGCUAAUAUGUGAGAAUAAGAGUUCUUCAAGUGAGGUUUCUUCAGCCGUCUUGUUGAGCUAGUGACUUGAAUCGACUUAUCGGGUAAGUCAUGAUGUCUUUUCUAUUCCUAUUUUUAUUAUCAGUUACCUUGGUUGAUAUUCAUAUGUUGAAUAUAGGUCAGUUAGGGAGGGCUUAUGAUGCAGGAGGGACAAGAAAAGGUUGUUUGACUCUCGAAACCUCUCACAACAUAGAAAAUAGAAAGCUUAACCACUUAAUUUUCCCUUCCUACUUAAAACCACAACCAACAAUAUGGAUUGUAAUUCAAGGUAACUGGGAAAAAAAAAAGAAAUAAAGAGACGCAAUGGCUUACCCGAUAAGUCAAUUCUGAACUCUUUGGCUCAACAAGGCUUCUGAAGCUCCUUAGAAGACGCUUGAAAAACACUCACAAAAUUAGCAAAGCUAAUUUUAAGAAGCAAGAAAAAACUUGAAAUUUUUUUUGAAUUCUUAAAUUUGAUAGUUGUUGUUACAAACCUAAGAUUAAAGCUUUUUUAUAGACUUUAUUCUACUAAUACGACUCAUAAUAGGAUUACAUAUUUCUACUUUAAUUCUAAGACUUAAUUUAAUCACGACUCUUGUUAGGAAUUAAUUAAAUAAUUAAAUCUUUAUCUAAGAUUUCAAAUAAAUUAUAAAAUAGACUAAAUUACUUGAAGUAGACUUCUUCUUCCUUUGGUCGAACUUCUUAGUGGAAAUUUAUGUUUGUUUUAGUCUUUAACAUUGAGUAGAAUUUCAAAAGGUUGUAGCAUUGGAGUUAUAUGGAAACAAGGAAAUGAAAUAAGAGUCCAAAUUAGAAUCAAGACUUAUGGACAGGUUAUCUGCAUGCAACUAGUGUGCAGGCCUACUAGUUGCGUGCUUCUAGCAUCUGUAAAAGCUUCUUUGUGCACGCGGAUGAUGCGUGUAUGCAGCUGGUCCAACCUGCGCAUGUGUGCUCUCCUAUGCACUGUUUAUUGGGGUGUGUACGCGUACAUGCGUGGCUCUGUUGCAUGCAGCUUUUGUUUACCUGCAUGCCCCAUCUGCUCCUUCGUGCGAGUGUUUUUUCCUACUCAUGUGACUCCCCCCACAUGCGUACAUGAUGAGCACACUCACCCAUACUAUGGUUUGGGCUUUUUCUUAGGCCAGAAUCUUUGAGUCGAGUCUUUCCUUAGUUGUAAGGCCUAAUAACUUUUUUAUCUUGGGCUAUGGCUUGUUCCUUUUCCUUCUAGGCAAAUGUCCAAGACCAUUUAAUACCUUAUGAGCCCUUGAUUUGCUUCUUUUCUAGUAUAGGAUUUGGAGAGGUCCCGCAUGGGCAAUCUCUAUUCGGGAGCACUUCCUAGCAUGCCUUAGAAGUACAUUAUUGCACAAUUACUUUCGCCCUCCCCAACCCCUAUUGUUGUAUCCUCACGGAUGGUUGGAUUCUAGAAAUAUUCAUGCACUUGGGUCUCCCACUUGUCACAAGGACUUUUCUCACCCAUUAUCACAUCAUUUCCCCUUCUUUGGGAAGGUUCGCCCUUGAAUCUAUGCUAUUUGUAAUUUUUUUUUCUAAAGAAAAGGUAGUUAAGAAAAGUACCAAGCAAUCUGCAGAAUAGCUAGGCACAAGUGAAUGGUCCUGCACGAGGAAAUAAUUCUUGGUCCUUGUUGGGGCUUUUGUUUUUCUUUGUUUCUUGUCCUAUGAGCUCAUCAUAAGACUUCUUAAUCUUGAGCUAGUAUUCAUAUGAUUCUCUUCUUGAUAAUGGAGUUAGAAUAUGGGCGAGACCUCCUAUACACACCGAAUAAUGAUUUUUUCCACUAACAUGAUUAACAUUCUUGUCAUACUGCCAUGGUCUCCCUAACAAUAGAUGUUUUACUUGCAUAAGAACAACAUCGUAUGUUACCUCGUCUUCGUAUAUACUAACAAAAAAUAGAACUCGAACCUGUUUGGUGACAUUGACUUCCGUAAUGUCAUCUAGUCAAUGUAGUUUAUAGGGAUUAGGGUGUGGUGUACAAGUCAACUAUGCCCUACCCACCAGUAGAGUGUUGGCGACAUUAAUGCAACUCCCUUCAUCAAUAAUCACACUGCAAAUCUUUCUUUUAAUGAGACAUUUGGAGUGGAAGAUGGUUUCUUUCUAAAUGUUAUCUUUUAAGUUUAUCAGCAUGUGUAGAGUUUGUUGCGUAAUACUUUCCUCACUGGCCCCAAAUAAUGGUAGAUCUUUUUGUUUAUUUUAUUGUCAAGAUCACUAAUUACAUCCACAUUGUAAUAUCCGGGCCCGGAUUUUGGCCUGAGAUUAAUUCCAACAUUUUAAAUAUAAAAAAAUAUUUUUAAAUUAAUUUAUUUUAAUUUUUUAUUGAAUUUAUGAAAAAUUAGGUUAUGGAUGAAAUUAAAAACAAUUUUAGAAAAAAGGGGUGAAAAUUUGAGUUCGGUGGAUGUUUUUGAAAGAAAAUCGGAAAUUGGGGAUUAAAGUGCAAAUAAGAACAAUUUUUCCACAUUGGACCGCCUAGUCAGCAACCCCUACGAACAAGAGCACGCUGCGUGGUAAGGCACGUUAACGUCGAUGCCACGCGGGAUGCCAUACGGGCGACCCCCCUUUAAACGCGAUUAGAUAGUUGAGAUUAAAUCGCGAUGAACGGUCCAAAUUCAUUUUCUCUUUAAAUGCAAUUAGAUGGUUGAUAUCAAAUGCGAUGAAUGGUCUAGAUUAACGCGAGAUGGAUAUAAAUAUUUCGCAUCACACUGAAUCUAAACCCUAGCCGCUAGCCUCUCGCCAAAGAAGAAGAACCAGUCACCAGAGAAGGGAGCCGACCACUGACCACCGCCGCACCAUAGCCACCUCCUAUCCGCUCAAAAUUUAAUUCCAAGUACCCUCAUGGUCAAAUCGGAGCAAAAAGAACGGCGGGUGAGCUAAACACCGUGGGUAAAGCCCGACGACGUCGUCGCAGGCAAAACCCACAACCUCAUAUGAUGAGCCCCUUCCCAUUUCCCGUUUCAUUCGAUUUUUUCACCGUUGUGUUCACCAUUCUAUUUUCUACAGGUUGACCAAAGAAAAACUCUCCGCCGCAAGGGUGAGCCUGUGGUGCCACCGCACUCGAAAAACACCACUGCCGGUAGGUUUUCAUUUUUUUAUUUUUUCGGCCAACCGAGACCCCCUAACGUGUUUUUUCACAAUGAUACAUAUAAAGUCAGUUGAAACUAGCCAAAAUCGGCCAAAAAUGACCAGGUUGAGGUAAACUGCCGCGACAGGCAGUGGUGCAGUCGCCGGAGCACAGUAGUGUCGAAACCCCAAAAUUUGUCAGAAAGGAUUUUUUUCCACCAAUUUUGGAUUCCUAGGUUAUUUUUAGGUACGUGAUAAAUGUUUUGAAUUCUGCAGGGAUAAUUCAGAAAAUCCGGGGACCGUUAGUAGGCGAAGUAGAAAGUUCAGUAUUCCGGACACCGAUUCAGGUAAGGAUCCCUCACCUUUUUCUCUGUUACGGUAAAUUAAGACUUAAUAAUUAAUAAUUGUGUUUCUAUGAAAAAUUAGAGAAUCUUAAAAAUAAUUACAGGUCACUAGUGGAUACAGAACCGGUUAGUUCACAGUCGUUUCGAUUUUCAGUUUAUUUCUUUAUAUUGCCUAUAUUUGUUUACUAUUAUAUGGUGCAUAACUCAAUUAAUGGUUUUUAGGGUGUCUUUAGUUAUUUUGUUAUUUGUUUCCCCUAUAUUGCGUGGUGGUAUCCUGAUCAUUGGUUAUUUGGCAGUGUGAAACUAUAUUGUUGUUUAAAUGAACAGUGAGUAUAAAAUGAAAUAUGGUUAUUGCAUGGUUAAUUUUUAUGAUGAAUAAGAAUCUGUAUAGGAAAGACUUAUUAGGUACCCAAAAAAGGGGCGGACGGACCCGAUACAUAGGGAACCCUACCGUAAACAUUACCUCAGUUGGACGGGAUUGAGAAGUCCCUUACCAGAAAGAUUUGGGAGAUAUGGUUCACCUUCAUACUGGACGGGGUAUCGAGGUGGUGGCAUGUUUGGUGCCCAUACCAGAUGGGGUAUGGGGCGACCGGUUAACUAUUUAAUUGAAUAUUGGGUCACGAGUAGGAGGACAUCCCUAUGGACCCCCAAGAUACUGGUAAGUGGGUAAAAAUAUAAAAUGAUCGUUUCUUGUCAUCUUAUAUGUGAUAAAUAAUAAGGCAUGAAUAUGAGUUUUCAUAAGUUAUUGUUGGGAAAGACUUAUUACACAAUAUGGAAUAAAUGACUUUCUUUAUAGUAAAUGAAUUUACAUGAAAUUAAGGGCUCAAUUGGUUAUUUUUCUAAUUUUUACUAAUUUUCAGUUUUCUGUAUAUGUGAUUAGUGUGACAUUCUUACUGGGUUAGUUUAUCCUUUCAUUAACUAUUUCAGAUCAAGAGGACCAAGAUCUAGAUCCCA
RNAcentral lists this long non-coding RNA (37769 nucleotides) under Carica papaya (papaya). Its description in RNAcentral is "long non-coding RNA (CPAP_LNC007926)". Lineage: Eukaryota; Viridiplantae; Streptophyta; Magnoliopsida; Brassicales; Caricaceae. The record is from RNAcentral.